CUGUGGUUAUUCAAUGUGAGAAUUUUUUGUUUGUAUUUUUUUCAAUUGUUGUUAAUUUAGUUAAUUUUUUCGUUUAUUUAGGCAAAGUCUUUUAAACGACUUUUUGAAACUUUAAUUGAACAUCAGAUGCCUCCAAAGAAAGGUGCGGCUUCAACCAGUAAAUCGUCUGGUAAAGGUGACUCUAAAGAUUCUGGCAAAAAAGAGACUAAAGAAAAGACCGGCUCUGGAAAUUCUGUUAAAGUUCGUCAUAUACUUUGUGAGAAACAAUCAAAAGCUUUGGAAGCCAUUGAGAAGUUAAAGAGUGGCGUUAGUUUUUCUGAAGUUGCUAGGUUAUUCAGUGAAGAUAAAGCUCGUAAUGGUGGUGAUUUAGGAUGGAUGACCAGAGGAUCUAUGGUUGGACCUUUUCAAGAUGCUGCAUUUGCUUUAGCCACAUCAACACCCAACAAUCCAAUUUACACCGAUCCUCCAGUUAAGACAAAAUUUGGAUAUCAUGUAAUUAUGGUUGAAGGCAAAAAAUAGUGACAUUUCAACUUCUCAAAUCGACCUUGUAUUCCUCUCAUUGUCAUAAGCAUUGAAAAUUUUUUGAUAUCAACCUUACACAUAUUUGCAUGUACUAAGUACAACAUUAAUACUUUAUAAAAAAAGGCUAGGUAAUAAAGCCAUUAUUUAAAACUUUCA
Tetranychus urticae (two-spotted spider mite) is the source of this 678-nucleotide RNA transcript. It is a transcript of the gene named peptidyl-prolyl cis-trans isomerase NIMA-interacting 4 pseudogene, with no coding region annotated. Lineage: Eukaryota; Metazoa; Arthropoda; Arachnida; Trombidiformes; Tetranychidae. The record is from RefSeq and is a predicted model, not a curated record.